Molecule: ribosomal RNA, 307 nt
Filed under: uncultured bacterium
Lineage: Bacteria
Description: bacterial SSU rRNA
Rfam family: Bacterial small subunit ribosomal RNA
Source: RNAcentral
ACACGGGGAAACUUGUGCUAAUACCGAAUAAGCCCUUACGGGGAAAGUUUUAAUGCCGAAAGAUGAGCCCGCACUUGAUUAGCUAGUUGGUAAGGUAAAAGCUUACCAAGGCAACGAUCAAUAGCUGUUCUUAGAGGAAGACCAGCCACAUUGGGACUGAGACACGGCCCAGACUCCUACGGGAGGCAGCAGUGGGGAAUCUUGCACAAUGGGGGAAACCCUGAUGCAGCGAUGCCGCGUGAGUGAAGAAGGCCCUUGGGUUGUAAAACUCUUUCGUCGGGGAAGAAAAUGACUGUACCCGAAUAAG